CCUACGGGGGGCUGCAGUGGGGAAUAUUGGACAAUGGGCGAAAGCCUGAUCCAGCCAUGCCGCGUGUGUGAAGAAGGCCUUCGGGUUGUAAAGCACUUUCAGUGGGGAAGAAAGCCUUGGGGCUAAUACCCUCGAGGAAGGACAUCACCCACAGAAGAAGCACCGGCUAACUCCGUGCCAGCAGCCGCGGUAAUACGGAGGGUGCGAGCGUUAACCGGAAUUACUGGGCGUAAAGCGCGCGUAGGCGGUCUGAUAAGCCGGUUGUGAAAGCCCCGGGCUCAACCUGGGAACGGCAUCCGGAACUGUCAGGCUAGAGUGCAGGAGAGGAAGGUAGAAUUCCCGGUGUAGCGGUGAAAUGCGUAGAGAUCGGGAGGAAUACCAGUGGCGAAGGCGGCCUUCUGGACUGACACUGACGCUGAGGUGCGAAAGCGUGGGUAGCAAACAGGAUUAGAUACCCGAGUAGUC
RNAcentral lists this ribosomal RNA (465 nucleotides) under Vreelandella stevensii. RNAcentral describes it as "partial 16S ribosomal RNA". It matches the Rfam family "Bacterial small subunit ribosomal RNA", at positions 338 to 795 of the family's 1533-position model. The record is from RNAcentral. Lineage: Bacteria; Pseudomonadati; Pseudomonadota; Gammaproteobacteria; Oceanospirillales; Halomonadaceae.